This 502-nucleotide ribosomal RNA is filed under the name uncultured bacterium. RNAcentral's name for it is "partial 16S ribosomal RNA". It matches the Rfam family "Bacterial small subunit ribosomal RNA", at positions 30 to 523 of the family's 1533-position model. The record is from RNAcentral.
AUUGAACGCUGGCGGCAUGCCUUACACAUGCAAGUCGAACGGCAGCACGGGAGCUUGCUCCUGGUGGCGAGUGGCGAACGGGUGAGUAAUGCAUCGGAACGUACCCGGAAGUGGGGGAUAACGUAGCGAAAGUUACGCUAAUACCGCAUAUUCUGUGAGCAGGAAAGAGGGGGAUCGCAAGACCUCUCGCUUUCGGAGCGGCCGAUGUCGGAUUAGCUAGUUGGUGGGGUAAAGGCCUACCAAGGCGACGAUCCGUAGCGGGUCUGAGAGGAUGAUCCGCCACACUGGAACUGAGACACGGUCCAGACUCCUACGGGAGGCAGCAGUGGGGAAUUUUGGACAAUGGGCGAAAGCCUGAUCCAGCCAUGCCGCGUGAGUGAAGAAGGCCUUCGGGUUGUAAAGCUCUUUCGGCUGAAAAGAAAUCGCACAGGCUAAUACCCUGUGUGGAUGACGGUAUCAGCAUAAGAAGCACCGGCUAACUACGUGCCAGCAGCCGCCGCCG